UCCACUCAGGCAUACACCAUCAUGGUUUGUCCAAUUAUUCGUGGGAUAGACUCUGCAAAUUUGGAAAAAUGAGGGAACCUACCCCAGCUCUGUUGACAAGCUUGAGGUCCUGAGCGAGGCAAACAGUGGGUGACUCUGUCUUCAUAGUCUCGAAAGAUACUGUCCACGAGCCGUGAGACCCGCUCAUGUUCCUGAGAACGUUUUGCUGAGAAUGAUGACUCUCAAGCCGCCAGAAACUGCAUGUUGAAGAAACUUAGCGGAGGGAAUUUGACACACUGAAAUCCAGGA
RNAcentral lists this long non-coding RNA (288 nucleotides) under Bos indicus x Bos taurus (hybrid cattle). Its description in RNAcentral is "lncRNA (ENSBIXG00005001097.1)". The record is from RNAcentral. Lineage: Eukaryota; Metazoa; Chordata; Mammalia; Artiodactyla; Bovidae.